AUCUUACGCCAUGGACGAGAGUCUGACGGAGCAACGCCGCGUGAGGGAUGAAGGGAUUCGGAUCGUAACCUUCAGUUGUUAGGGAAGGACAAGAACCGGAGUCACUGCCGGUACCGUGACGGUACCUGACGAGAAAGCCACGGCUAACUACGUACCAGCAGCCGCGGUAAUACGGAGGUGGCAAGCGUUGUCUGGAUUUCUCGGGCGUAAAGGGCUGGCAGGCGGUCUGUAAGGUCUGAUGUGAAAUCUUGCGGCUAAACUGGAAGCGGUCAUUGGAAACGGGGAGACUUGAGUGCAGAAGGGGAGAGUGGAAUUCCAGGUGUAGCGGUGAAAUGCGUAGAGAUAUGGAGGAACACCAGUGGCGAAGGAGACUCUCUGGUCUGUAACUGACGCUGAGGCGCGAAAGCGUGGGGAUCAAACA
This 421-nucleotide ribosomal RNA is filed under the name uncultured bacterium. RNAcentral's name for it is "partial 16S ribosomal RNA". It matches the Rfam family "Bacterial small subunit ribosomal RNA", at positions 361 to 774 of the family's 1533-position model. The record is from RNAcentral.